Small nuclear RNA from Rattus norvegicus (Norway rat), 141 nucleotides. Ensembl annotates it as U4 spliceosomal RNA. The record is from Ensembl. Lineage: Eukaryota; Metazoa; Chordata; Mammalia; Rodentia; Muridae.
AGCUUUGUACAGUGGCAGUAUCAUAGCCAAUGAGGUUUAUCCGAGGUGCAGUUAUUGCUGAUUGAAAACGUUUCCCAAUACCCCGCCAUCAUGACUUGCAAUAUAGUCGGCAUUGGCAAUUUUUGACAGUUUCUACGGAAA